CCUACGGGGGGCUGCAGUGGGGAAUAUUGGACAAUGGGGGGAACCCUGAUCCACCCAUGCCGCGUGUGUGAAGAAGGCCCUCGGGUUGUAAAGCACUUUCAGUGAGGAAGAACGCCUGGUGGUUAAUACCCAUCAGGAAAGACAUCACUCACAGAAGAAGCACCGGCUAACUCCGUGCCAGCAGCCGCGGUAAUACGGAGGGUGCGAGCGUUAAUCGGAAUUACUGGGCGUAAAGCGCGCGUAGGUGGCUUGAUAAGCCGGUUGUGAAAGCCCCGGGCUCAACCUGGGAACGGCAUCCGGAACUGUCAAGCUAGAGUGCAGGAGAGGAAGGUAGAAUUCCCGGUGUAGCGGUGAAAUGCGUAGAGAUCGGGAGGAAUACCAGUGGCGAAGGCGGCCUUCUGGACUGACACUGACACUGAGGUGCGAAAGCGUGGGUAGCAAACAGGAUUAGAUACCCCAGUAGUC
This 465-nucleotide ribosomal RNA is filed under the name Vreelandella stevensii. RNAcentral describes it as "partial 16S ribosomal RNA". It matches the Rfam family "Bacterial small subunit ribosomal RNA", at positions 338 to 795 of the family's 1533-position model. Lineage: Bacteria; Pseudomonadati; Pseudomonadota; Gammaproteobacteria; Oceanospirillales; Halomonadaceae. The record is from RNAcentral.